UCUUGGCAAAGAUAUUGGAGUAGUUGGCCAUUUCCUUCUCCAGCUUAUUUUACAGAUGAAGAAACUGAGGCAGACAGGGUUCAGUGACUCCCUCAGGGUCACACAGCUGCAGAGGAAACUGAGGUUGAGAUGAAUCGACUUGUCCCAGACCGGAACUACUAAGAAAUAUCAAAAUCAAGGAUUAAACCUAGAUAUUGACUCUGUCUUUGGAUACACGCUCCCUUCCCCGCCAUGCUUCCUCUCCAAAAAAGGGGAAAGUGUGGGAAAAAAAAGGAUGAUGGGUAGAAGAGAAAGUGGCCAAGGGAAGAGAAUAUGGAGAUUCUGAUGAAAAGAAGGAUAGAGGGAAGGGGGUUCCCAAUCAUUGUAACAGACUUUGAGUUACUCAUUUCAAAUGAUAAUACUAUAACAAUGAUAUAAGGUUGGCUAAUCAGGGAAAUCCCUUCAUUAAAGUCCUCUGAGUACA
Antechinus flavipes (yellow-footed antechinus) is the source of this 463-nucleotide long non-coding RNA. RefSeq lists it as uncharacterized. NCBI's taxonomy places the organism in Eukaryota, Metazoa, Chordata, Mammalia, Dasyuromorphia, Dasyuridae. The transcript has 2 exons. The record is from RefSeq and is a predicted model, not a curated record.